RNAcentral lists this ribosomal RNA (484 nucleotides) under uncultured bacterium. RNAcentral's name for it is "partial 16S ribosomal RNA". It matches the Rfam family "Bacterial small subunit ribosomal RNA", at positions 30 to 507 of the family's 1533-position model. The record is from RNAcentral.
AUUGAACGCUGGCGGCAGGCCUAACACAUGCAAGUCGAGCGGAUGAAGGGAGCUUGCUCCUGGAUUCAGCGGCGGACGGGUGAGUAAUGCCUAGGAAUCUGCCUGGUAGUGGGGGAUAACGUCCGGAAACGGGCGCUAAUACCGCAUACGUCCUGAGGGAGAAAGUGGGGGAUCUUCGGACCUCACGCUAUCAGAUGAGCCUAGGUCGGAUUAGCUAGUUGGUGGGGUAAAGGCCUACCAAGGCGACGAUCCGUAACUGGUCUGAGAGGAUGAUCAGUCACACUGGAACUGAGACACGGUCCAGACUCCUACGGGAGGCAGCAGUGGGGAAUAUUGGGCAAUGGGCGAAAGCCUGAUCCAGCCAUGCCGCGUGUGUGAAGAAGGUCUUCGGAUUGUAAAGCACUUUAAGUCGGGAGGAAGGGCAGUAAGUUAAUACCUUGCUGUUUUGACGUUACCAACAGAAUAAGCACCGGCUAACUUCGUG